This 431-nucleotide ribosomal RNA is filed under the name uncultured bacterium. RNAcentral describes it as "partial 16S ribosomal RNA". It matches the Rfam family "Bacterial small subunit ribosomal RNA", at positions 29 to 507 of the family's 1533-position model. The record is from RNAcentral.
AACGAACGCUGGCGGCAGGCCUAACACAUGCAAGUCGAGCGAGCCGUCGGGUGGGCGGCGGCCGGGUGAGUAACGCGUGGGAAUAGGCCCAUCUCUACGGAAUAGUCCUGGGAGACUGGGGGUAAUACCGGAUACGCCCUCUGGGGGAAAGAUUUAUCGGGGAAGGAUUAGCCCGCGUUGGAUUAGGUGGUUGGGGGGGUAUUGGCCUACCAGGCCGACGAUCCAUAGCAGGUGUGAGAGGAUGAGCAGCCACACUUGGACUGAGACACGGCCCAGACUCCUACGGGAGGCAGCAGAGGGGAAUCUUGGACCAUGGCGGCAACCCUGAUCGAGCCAUGCCGCGUGAGUGAUGAAGGCCUUAGGGUUGUAAAGCUCUUUCAGCUGGGAAGAUAAUGACGGUACCAGCAGAAGAAGCCCCGGCUAACUCCGUG